Molecule: ribosomal RNA, 305 nt
Filed under: uncultured Pseudomonadota bacterium
Lineage: Bacteria; Pseudomonadati; Pseudomonadota
Description: bacterial SSU rRNA
Rfam family: Bacterial small subunit ribosomal RNA
Source: RNAcentral
AACGAACGCUGGCGGCAGGCCUAACACAUGCAAGUCGAACGAGAAGCCACCUUCGGGUGGUGGACAGUGGCAGACGGGUGAGUAACGCGUGGGAACGUGCCUUUCGGUUCGGGAUAACCCAGGGAAACUUGGGCUAAUACCGGAUACGCCCUUCGGGGGAAAGAUUCAUCGCCGAAAGAUCGGCCCGCGUCGGAUUAGCUAGUUGGUGAGGUAACGGCCCACCAAGGCUACGAUCGGUAGGUGGUCUGAGAGGAUGGUCACCCACACUGGGACUGAGAUACGGCCCAGACUCCUACGGGUGGCUG